Molecule: transfer RNA, 71 nt
Filed under: Marmota monax (woodchuck)
Lineage: Eukaryota; Metazoa; Chordata; Mammalia; Rodentia; Sciuridae
Description: tRNA.Ala
Rfam family: tRNA
About the family: Transfer RNA (tRNA) molecules are approximately 80 nucleotides in length. Their secondary structure includes four short double-helical elements and three loops (D, anti-codon, and T loops).
Source: RNAcentral
GGGGUUGUGGCUCAGCGGUAGAGCACUUGCCUAGCACGUGAGAGGCCCUGGGUUCGAUCCUCAGCACCACA